Molecule: non-coding RNA, 312 nt
Organism: Rana temporaria (common frog)
Lineage: Eukaryota; Metazoa; Chordata; Amphibia; Anura; Ranidae
Source: the annotation of a RefSeq genome assembly
AUGACGCAGACCCCAAAAUAUAUCUCAGUGUCUCCAGGAGAGAAUCUUCAGAUAAACUGUAAAUCAGGUUCUGAUGUUACUCACUCAGAUGGUGACAGUCUAAUAUAUUGGUUCCAAAAGAAAGCCGAUCAACCGCCAAAACGUCUUAUCUAUUGGGGAACCAAUCGCCAGUCUGGAGUCCCGGAGAGGUUCAGUGGCAGUAGAUCCGGAUCUCCGUAUGAUUAUUUUACUCUUACAAUCAGUGGAGCUCAACUGGAAGAUGAAGCCGAGUAUUACUGUAUGCAGAGCAAGAGCGUCCCUCUCACACAGUGA